Molecule: unclassified non-coding RNA, 322 nt
Filed under: air metagenome
Description: partial contains small subunit ribosomal RNA, internal transcribed spacer 1, and 5.8S ribosomal RNA
Rfam family: Eukaryotic small subunit ribosomal RNA (bases 1-46)
Source: RNAcentral
AAGUCGUAACAAGGUUUCCGUAGGUGAACCUGCGGAAGGAUCAUUAAUGAAUAAUUUUGUUGGGUUGCUGCUGGCCUCUAGGGGCAUGUGCACGCCUUUCACAAACUUAUUUCAACCACCUGUGCACUUUUUGUAGACUUUGGAACACGCUAUCGAGGCAACUCGGAUCUGAGGACUGCUGUUGCGAAAGCUCAGCUUUUCCUUUAACAUUCCAAGUCUAUGUUUUUCAUAUACCCAUUACUGUAUGUCCUAGAAUGUAAUUCAUGGGCUUUCAUGCCUAUACAACCUUAUACAACUUUCAACAACGGAUCUCUUGGCUCUC